GCAGUCUGCAACUCGAGUGCAUGAAGCUGGAAUCGCUAGUAAUCGCGGAUCAGAAUGCCGCGGUGAAUACGUUCCCGGGUCUUGUACACACCGCCCGUCACACCAUGGGAGUCGGGAAUGCCCGAAGCCGGUGGCCCAAUCGAGAGAAGGGAGCCGUCGAAGGCAGGCCGGAUGACUGGGGUGAAGUCGUAACAAGGUAUC
Molecule: ribosomal RNA, 201 nt
Filed under: uncultured bacterium
Lineage: Bacteria
Description: partial 16S ribosomal RNA
Rfam family: Bacterial small subunit ribosomal RNA
Source: RNAcentral